RNAcentral lists this ribosomal RNA (854 nucleotides) under Montenegrina attemsi jakupicensis. Its description in RNAcentral is "partial 16S ribosomal RNA". The record is from RNAcentral. Lineage: Eukaryota; Metazoa; Mollusca; Gastropoda; Stylommatophora; Clausiliidae.
AGAAGAGCCGUUUGGGAUUUCCCGAAAUUAAAAGAUCUAAGGGACUAUAAGUUAUUAGAUUAAUAUAAAAUACUGUGGCAUUAGUAUAUCUCAAAGAGUAUCUUAGUGGUGAAACGCCUUCACUUUUAUUGAUAGCUGGAUAAAUGUUAAAUAUAUUAAGUUUAUAAAAAAAUUACAAAGUUAUAAGAUUUUGUAAGCAGAAUUUUAGGUUUUAUUAGCAAAUGCUACUAACAAAUACUUUUCAGCAAUACCGUUACCUUAAAUAUUUUUACUUCUUUAAAAUUCUAUCCUAACAUUUCAUUUAAUAAAAAUAAUAUUUUCAUAAAUUGAUAAUGUAUAAAUGAGUAUAUAUAUAAAUUUAUUUAAAUGAACUCGGCAAAUUAUAUGUACGACUGUUUACCAAAAACAUAGCCGGUAGUAAUAUUUCUUAUCGGUGUGACCUGCCCAGUGAUAUUUAACGGCCGCAGUACCAUGACUGUGCAAAGGUAGCAUAAUCAUUUGGCUUUUAAUUGGAGUCUAGUAUGAAAGGAUUCACGUAUAUAAGCUGUAUUUAUAUAAGUCUAUAAAAUUUAUUUAUAGGGUGAAAAUACCCUAAAUAAGAAAAUUAGACGAGAAGACCCUUAGAAUUUUAAGAAAAGCCAUGACUCUGCAUGGUAAACUUUUUGUUGGGGCAACAAUAUUUCAGUAGAAUAAAUAUAAUAUCAUUCAAUAUAACGAAAUAGUUUAAUCAAGUAUAAAUUACCUUAGGGAUAACAGCAUAAUUUUAACAAAAGAUUGUGACCUCGAUGUUGGACUAGGAACUAUUAAGGCUAGUCGUUUUAAUAAAAUAGGUUCUGUUCGAACUUUAUUUCCUA